GAAUAUUGGACAAUGGGGGGAACCCUGAUCCAGCCAUGCCGCGUGUGUGAAGAAGGCCUUUUGGUUGUAAAGCACUUUCAGCGAGGAGGAGGCUACCUGGAUUAAUACUUUAGGAUAGUGGACGUUACUCGCAGAAUAAGCACCGGCCACCUCUGUGCCAGCAGCCGCGGUAAUACAGAGGGUGCGGGCGUUAAGCGGAUUUACGGGGCGUAAAGCGGGCGGAGGCGGCCAAUGAAGUCAAAUGUGAAAGCCCCGAGCUUAACUUGGGAAUCGCAUGCGAUACUGGUUGGCUAGAGUAUGGGCGAGGAGGGUAGAAUUCCAGGUGUAGCGGUGAAAUGCGUAGAGAUCUGGAGGAAUACCGAUGGAGAAGGCAGCCAUCUGGCAUAAUACUGACGCUGAGGUACGAAAGCAUGGGGAGCAAACAG
Molecule: ribosomal RNA, 425 nt
Filed under: uncultured bacterium
Lineage: Bacteria
Description: partial 16S ribosomal RNA
Rfam family: Bacterial small subunit ribosomal RNA
Source: RNAcentral